Long non-coding RNA from Heterocephalus glaber (naked mole-rat), 4821 nucleotides. Lineage: Eukaryota; Metazoa; Chordata; Mammalia; Rodentia; Bathyergidae. The record is from Ensembl.
CCCGCCUUCCUUCAUCUCUCCGCUUUCCAGCUUCACUUCCUAAACGAGCUCACUUUAGGCUGCCGGAGAGGAAGAGGCUCUUCCGGCCCUGAAUCAGACAAUCCCUUUUAGGAAAAGGCUCUGAUUGGUCCGAGGGGUCACGUGGGCCGACGGGCGGCUUUCCAGUCACGUGGUCAGGCUGGCCGGAACGGAAGUCCUCCAAGUGCGGGGCUCGCUCUCUGGAGCGGGCAGUGGGUAGAUCUGGGUAGACUAAGUGGCCAGGAUGCCACCAGGGGAAGAUCACUCUUAAUAUUCGUCCUUAGCACCAGCAGCAGAAGUCACGCUGGAUGGUUUACAUAGAAAAGGAGAUUAUGAAAGGAUAAAAGGGCCUUUCUGCUUCUAGCAUGGUGUCGCCAGGAACGAGGACAGCGAAAUCCUGACGAGCACGGGACUGUGCCUGUCGCUGAGGCAGCCAGAGAGGGGACCGGCGCACAGGCGGCCAGGGCCAGAGCAGCAGGUUGUGCGACCCACCGCCCUUCGCCACAGGGAAGCAGCCCUGAGCUAGUCGGGAGUCCUGGCAAAGACCGAGAAGCUGUCUCAGGAGGCCAGUGUCUCCGCUCUCACUUCCGAGUGCAGGAUCCCUUGGCGCCUCCUAGUACUACCGUGCCCUGUUAUCUAGGUCACAGGACGCUACAGUGACCCGACCGGGUCAAUGACAAGGCCCAGGACCUCUGGAAGUGAAGAAAGAUAUGGGUCAUCGCUGCAGGGGACGAACGAACGAGACCUGCCAACGUGCUUGCGGAAGGCCGGGAAAUACAGAAUCAGAGUAAAAGGUAGUCGUAAACACCUCAGGAGCAGUUACAGAAGUGAGGAUUGUGAGCUGGGCGUGGUGGCCCAGGCCUGUAAUCUCUGGACUCAGGAGGCUGAGGCAGGAGGAUCGCCAUGAGUUCGAGCCCAACCUGGGCUACAUCGUGAGCUCAAGGUCAGUCUGAACUACAUAGCAAGGCUCUGACUCAAAAAAAAAAAAAAAAAAAAAAAGAAAUGAGGAUUGUAAUUGUCAUGAAUAUUUCUUUCCUAUUUUGUUAAUAUGCAUGUGAACAUAGACACAUAAGCAAGUAUCUUUGUUUUCUUUGUAACAUCUUCUUUGUAAUGUUGAUUACCUUAAUAUUGGUACUCAAGUAUUGUGAAAUCUUCAUUCAAUAAUAGUUAAGUUAUCAAAUCUCAGGAAAAAUAUCACCCAAAGGAAAACUCUGCCUUCCAUUCUGGGGAGGGGAAUUAGUGUGUUUCCGUAUGUACACUGGAGAAUUGUACUCUGAGAAACAUAAUUAUGAACUUACUAUUGGACCUGGAGGUCCAUAUGGUUUAAGGAGAUGGUUGUCAAGUUGACAGGGGCUGGUUUUUGACUAUCGAUCCUAUGUCAACCUGACAGGAUUAAUAGCUCCGUAGCGACUGGGUGAAGCACAGUUCUGGGCGUGUCUGUGGGUGACUGACACAUGGGCCAACAAACAGGAAGCCCCACUGGGCUGUGGGCAGCACCAGCCAAUGGACUUGUAAGAUGGAUGAAAUAAAAAGGGAAAGAAGGAAGUUCGAGCAUUUUUAAAGAUCCAGUCAUUUUGAGCGCGUGUGUCCUUUGCUGCCCUGCGCUGAACGUCGGUCUCCAGAUUCUUCAGCCUUCCAUACAGACUCACACUGGAAACUCCAGUGGGCUCCAGACCUUCGACCUCAGACUGGUGCUGCUUUUUUUUUUUUGGUACCGGGGCUGAACUCGGGACCUUGCGCUUGUAAGGCAGACGGCAGAACCACUGAGCUAAAUCCCCGGCUUGGUGCUGCAUCUUUAAUCCCGCUGGUUCUGCAGCUGAGCAGCUCCUGGGUCCUCCAGCUCUCAGUGCACAGACAGCCUUAUGGACUCUCCUGCCUCAGAUCCUAUAACCUCUGUAACCUACCCUAUCAAUCCCCGUGCCUGAUUACACAUCUGUUUCCUGCUGAUUCUGUUCCUCUAGAGAACAUUAACCAAUACAGCCUUGGUGAAGGAAGAAAAUAAAGAGUAAAGAUACUGGGCGUGGUGGUCUAUGCCUGUAAUCCCAGCACUCAGGAGGCUGAGGCAAGAGGAUCCUAUGAGUUCAAGGCCAGCCUGAAUUUCAUAGCAAGACCCUGUAUCAAAAGGAAGAAAAGAGAAGAGUGUGCCAGUGUUACAGAUAACUAAGUUAGGUGCAGACUGGCUGGCAGUUAAAGGGACCAGGCCCAAGACAGACAUACCAGGCCCGUGGGAGGGCAGAGUUGACAGAAACAAGGCCCCAAGAUGGAGACGCCACGGCCAGGCCUGUGAGCCUCCCGGAGGCGAAGGGUAGCUCAGAGCUGUGCUGGAACUGUCAGAGAGAGACUCGCAGGUGCUCCGCCCUCCGUCCCACCCUCCCAGAACUGCCUCUGUGCCUCCUGCUAUGUCCCUGGCAGCACUGUGCCAGGAGACCCAGGUUAGCCUGGUUCUGACUGCAGUCACCAAGGAAGCCUGCAGAAUGACUCACUGUAUAACCUGGAACAGAGCCUCCCAUCGCCCCACCUCCAGGGCCCCUGGGGCUGUCUCUUAAUAAAACCUUCCUCCUCUCUGUCCUCAACUCCAUUGUUCAGCAUCCUGAGACACAACUCGGCACGGCUAACAGCUCGGCUGCUUCCUGUGACAUCCUCGGGGGCUCAUUCGGGAUCCCUAGGAGGAGGGAGGACCCCACUCGGAACUUUACAUUUCACAGUGAGGUGCUGCUACAUCAUGAUGCGGCCCGUCUGUUACUGCCUGUUCCUCAUGAAAUGCUACUUGCAAUGUGUAAGACUUGUUACACACACACUACGCACAAUCGAUCUCAUUCACCGUUUGUGGCACCAGCCUGUCACAGAUUUUUGUUGUUGUUCCCUUGCCAGCAGGUAUGAUUUAAAGGAAUAGGAGACUUUUUUUUUUCUUUUUUUUUGAGGCAGGGUCUCCCUUUGUAGCUCAGGCUGGCUCUGAACUCACUGUGUAGCCCAGGCUGGCCUCGAACUCAAAGCAAUCCUCCUGCCUCAGCCUCCCAAGUGCUGGGAUUACAGGCACGUGCCACCACACCCCGGCUUAAAGGAAUAGGAGACUUUUGACCCUUUUUCUAUAUGGAUAUCUUUGAUGGGUCAUCUCGUCUUUUGUGAGGAAGUCCCCAACUUUAGUCCGCUUCACAUCUGAAUGGGAUUUACUGUGUACUUAGGCCAAAGUAUGAAUCUGUCCCCACUGGCGGCCCUGUCAAAGUUCCUCCAUCUUUGGUGGCUUUGGGCCCUACUGCAUGCUUCCUUCCAGAGGGCAUGUGAGCUACUGAUUGGCUUGCCGCCCACGGCUGGGGCACAACCAAAGAUCCAGAGUCAGGAAAGAGAAUCCUUCUGGGAAUAGGCUGCUUGCUCCUGAAGAUUUCCUGAAAACUGGGAGGCUCAGGACUGGAUCGGAAGUCAAAGAAUGGGAAACUUGACGUCAUCUUCAAAAUCCUUUACUGUCCUCGACCCUGGGAAUUUUUUGAUCCGCAAACCGAAAAGAAGAGCUGCUCCAUCUUCUCUGCCCCAUGCAUGGCCUGACCACCCCUGGAAGAAAAGGAAUGGAGUCAGUGAAGUCAGUGAGGUACUGACCAGCUCUAGCGCUGCUGCAGGUGAAAGGGCAGAUGGCCUGAGGUCCUCUAUUUUCAAGACUUUCCUUGCCCUGAGAGACAAUCCUGAUUUGUGUUUAAAAUGUUUGUGUGAGGAAAAGGAAGCCAGGUACCUUUGGCCCACAAAUCUGACGUGCCCACCAUUCCAGAGGCUGAGGCGCCGCCUGCCUGCCCCGCGUGCUGAGGCUAAAGCCCCCCAGCCACCCCGUUAAGGCUUCUACAGGCGCUGUCCUUUCUCCCCAACCUAACUGAAACCCAGGAGAGCUACAUCCUCUGCAGGAAGUUGGGAGUCUGCCCCCACACCUGUGCCUGUGGUAUUUGCCCUUCUUGAGCUCAAACAAAUUGAACAGGGAUCUGGGUAAAUUUUCAUACGAUUCUGGUAAAUACAUUCAAGUCUUUUCUUCAGCGUUCCGAGACACAGCUGGGCACAUCUAACAGCUCGGGGCUGCUUCCUGUGACACCCAAAAGGAUGGGGGACCACAGCAGGGGCCACACGGGAGUCCACACCCCGGGAGGUCACCGAGGUCACAUGGGAGGUCACACUGGGAGGUCGUGGAGGUCAUAGGGAGGUCACACAGAGGCCACACCGGGAGAUCACAGAGGUCACACGGGAGGUCACACCGGGAGGUCAUAGGAGGAGCCACACCAGGAGGCCACACCGGCCAGCUGUGCCAUGCAAGCUGAGGCCUGGGCCUUUGGCCUGCUGACCGAGAGCCUCCCGGCUCCUCCCAGGGCCAGCCCGGCAGAGCCUGAGAGCAGCUUGGCUCUGUGGCUGGAGGCCCCGGGGGCCCUGGGCACCUUCAUCAGGCUCCUGGCCUGGAGGUGUCGCGGGGCCACCGAGCUGGCGGGUGGCGCCCAAGGCACUGCAGAGACAAGGGCCAGCCCAGUCACUCGCGGGCCCCCUGCACCUGGCGGGAGUGACGGCCGGCUGUGGCCAUCUGGCCUUGGUCAUCAGGGCCUGGGUCCCCCGGCCGCGGAGGCCGUCCGGAAAGGGCUCGGGGCGUCCUCCUCCCGAGGCACAGCCCCCCAGCCCCAGCCAGGGAGCCCCAACCCUCCCGCUACUCCGGCUGCGACCACGCGGUGGCGCCAGAGCCUGCACCAGGCGAGGCCGAGCAGGCGCAUCCGGGGCCUCUCGGAACCGGGCCGGGCCGUGCGUCCCCUGCCGUGUCCCGGGGCCGGCGCAGGGCGGGCGGAG